This 87-nucleotide unclassified non-coding RNA is filed under the name Pseudomonas gessardii. Lineage: Bacteria; Pseudomonadati; Pseudomonadota; Gammaproteobacteria; Pseudomonadales; Pseudomonadaceae. The record is from RNAcentral.
UGUGAGAGCGGGCUUGCUCGCGAUGCAAGCGCUGCGGUCAAUCAGAUACACCGAGGCGAUGCUAUCGCGAGCAAGCCCGCUCCCACA